GGUUAAGCGACUAAGCGUACACGGUGGAUGCCCUGGCAGUCAGAGGCGAUGAAGGACGUGCUAAUCUGCGAUAAGCGUCGGUGAGGUGAUAUGAACCGUUAUAACCGGCGAUUUCCGAAUGGGGAAACCCAGUGUGUUUCGACACA
This 146-nucleotide ribosomal RNA is filed under the name Escherichia coli. RNAcentral's name for it is "partial 23S ribosomal RNA". It matches the Rfam family "Bacterial large subunit ribosomal RNA", at positions 1 to 145 of the family's 2925-position model. The record is from RNAcentral. Lineage: Bacteria; Pseudomonadati; Pseudomonadota; Gammaproteobacteria; Enterobacterales; Enterobacteriaceae.